This 124-nucleotide small nucleolar RNA is filed under the name Moschus moschiferus (Siberian musk deer). RNAcentral's name for it is "Small nucleolar RNA SNORA77 (ENSMMSG00000006595.1)". It matches the Rfam family "Small nucleolar RNA SNORA77". Rfam says of the family: ACA63 (SNORA77) is a member of the H/ACA class of snoRNAs that guide the sites of modification of uridines to pseudouridines. This snoRNA was identified by computational screening and its expression in mouse experimentally verified by Northern blot and primer extension analysis. Lineage: Eukaryota; Metazoa; Chordata; Mammalia; Artiodactyla; Moschidae. The record is from Rfam by way of RNAcentral.
GCAGACUCACUCUGCAUCCAGCCGCAGCCCCAGGCGGGUGCUUUUUCUGUCUGCCACAGGAACUUGCCGGGGGGCUGUGACCUCUGCCCUGUUAAGGGCAGCGCAGCUACCCCGGUACAUGAGU